AAGCAGGUUGAGAUCAACACAAUAGCAGCAGGUGCAGGCAGUCUUGGAUCAUUGUUAGUUCACCUGCACAGGUUUACCCUUGACAUUUUAGGGAAGCAUUACAAUAAAGAGGUGGUCAGGAUAACGACUCUUCUCUGGGAACAGCUUUGGGGUUUACUGAAGGCGUGGGGGAGUUGUAUGGACGGAAACAG
Haliotis rubra (blacklip abalone) is the source of this 191-nucleotide long non-coding RNA. RefSeq lists it as uncharacterized. The transcript has 3 exons. NCBI's taxonomy places the organism in Eukaryota, Metazoa, Mollusca, Gastropoda, Lepetellida, Haliotidae. The record is from RefSeq and is a predicted model, not a curated record.